Non-coding RNA from Pelobates cultripes (western spadefoot toad), 94 nucleotides. NCBI's taxonomy places the organism in Eukaryota, Metazoa, Chordata, Amphibia, Anura, Pelobatidae. The record is from the annotation of a GenBank genome assembly.
UCCAGGAGGUCCCUGAUGCAGGCUUACUUUAGGGGUUAAACCAUUCAAGAAUCGUUUAACCUCUAAAUGUGAGCCUGCAUCAGGGAUCUCCUGA